Molecule: ribosomal RNA, 253 nt
Filed under: uncultured bacterium
Lineage: Bacteria
Description: partial 16S ribosomal RNA
Rfam family: Bacterial small subunit ribosomal RNA
Source: RNAcentral
UACAGAGGUCCCAAGCGUUGUUCGGAUUCACUGGGCGUAAAGGGUGCGCAGGUGGUCGGGUAAGUCUGACGUGAAAUCCCGCAGCUUAACUGCGGAAUGGCAUUGGAUACUAUUCGGCUAGAGGGUUGGAGGGGGGACUGGAAUUCCUGGUGUAGCAGUGAAAUGCGUAGAUAUCAGGAGGAACACCGGUGGCGAAGGCGGCUCACUGGCCCGGUACUGACGCUGAGGCGCGAAAGCGUGGGGAGCAAACAGG